CGGAGACCACGGGGUGUUUUCAUAUAACCUACAACCCCAACUACCACCAUGGGUGGUGUUUCUAUGAUGGUAACAGCUUCACAUGUUUCUUUCUUGUGGAGCUUUGACCCUGGCUUCUCAACUUCUCUGACAAUAUGAGUCAUCCCUGCUUUGUAACCUAGAAAAGCAGUCAAUCUGCAAGUUUUCGUUGGAUCAUCUCUGGGAAAUGCCUUCACUUUUCCUCUGUGUCGGGAGGCUCUCUUUCUUGGGAGAAAUCCCAAAGAGCCAUGUCGAGGGUGUUCAAACUUGCGAUGAGACAUGCUUUAACCUCAGGAUAACACUCAAGACGAUACAAGAUGAGAAUAUCACUACAAAAGCAGCAGCUAUACUGUGAGAUACCUAGAAACUUUAGCUAGGGUUUUUAUCUCGCUCGCAAAUGAGAUCCAAUGGAUGCGACUAGCGUCUGAUGGGUGUUCCUGUCCGUUGGAUGGGUAAUUUGGG
This 480-nucleotide unclassified non-coding RNA is filed under the name Hevea brasiliensis (rubber tree). Lineage: Eukaryota; Viridiplantae; Streptophyta; Magnoliopsida; Malpighiales; Euphorbiaceae. The record is from RNAcentral.